GGGCCCACUUUGGUAGCACACACACUAAAAGUAGAAUCCUACAAAGUAGCAUGGCCUUUGUGCAAGGAUGAUAUACAAAUUUAUGAAGCAUUACAUAUUUGU
Small nuclear RNA from Monodelphis domestica (gray short-tailed opossum), 102 nucleotides. The record is from Ensembl. NCBI's taxonomy places the organism in Eukaryota, Metazoa, Chordata, Mammalia, Didelphimorphia, Didelphidae.